Molecule: ribosomal RNA, 445 nt
Filed under: Grania galbina
Lineage: Eukaryota; Metazoa; Annelida; Clitellata; Enchytraeida; Enchytraeidae
Description: partial 16S ribosomal RNA
Rfam family: Bacterial large subunit ribosomal RNA
Source: RNAcentral
GGUUCUUUAUACAGAAUAAUCUCCUGCCCAGUGACUUUUAACGGCCGCGGUAUCCUAACCGUGCAAAGGUAGCAUAAUAACUUGCCCAUUAAUUGUGGGCUAGAAUGAACGGGGUACCGAAAUAAGAUCUAUUCCAAUAAGACACCUAUAAACUACUCUAAAAGUGAAGAAGCUUUUAUUCUAGUACAGGACAAGAAGACCCUAUAGAGCUUUAUCUCUAUUAAUAAUAUAUUCUAACAGAUUCGGUUGGGGCGACCCAGGAAAAAUCAUCCUCUAAACUUUUGAUAUAUUUAUCUCUCUACAGAUCCUAUUAAGAUCAAUAAAUCAAGCUACCUUAGGGAUAACAGGCUAAUUCUAUUCCAGAGUUCAUAUCGACAAUAGAGAUUGGCACCUCGAUGUUGGCUUAGAUUACCUAAUUGGCGCAGACGUCACUAAAGGGGGUUUG